This is a long non-coding RNA of Apus apus (common swift), 1269 nucleotides long. RefSeq lists it as uncharacterized. The transcript has 2 exons. The record is from RefSeq and is a predicted model, not a curated record. NCBI's taxonomy places the organism in Eukaryota, Metazoa, Chordata, Aves, Apodiformes, Apodidae.
CGUGGGGACCACGGCGACAGGCCUGGCUGUCAUGAGGAGAAGCGCGCGAUUCACCCUGCACCGCCGCGGUGUGCCUAGGUUAUUUGUUUGUUUUCUUACUUUUGUUUUGUUUUUUAACCUGCCCUACUGGAGCCACGAGAAGAGCGGCAACAACAGUGGAGACAAUGGAAGGCGGGCUUUAUCCCAUGGUACCCUACCAAGCAGGUCCUUGAAGAGGCCAAAGUGUGCUCAAAGACAGCCAACAGGGCUUCACCAAGGGCAGAUUGUGCCUGACUAAUCUAGUAGCCUUCUACAAUGGAGUGACUGCAUCAGGGGACAAGUGAACAGCUGUGGAUGUCAUCUAUCCGAAAUUCUGUAAGGCCUUUGACACAGUCUGCUACAAUGUUCUUACCUCUAAAUUGGAGAGAGAUGAGUUUGAUGGAUGGAUUGUUAGUUAGAUGGAUAAGAAAUUGGCUGAAUGGCUGUUCUGAUUUGGUUUGGUGGGUUUUUUGGUAGCGGGGGAAGGGCACCAGGAGUGGCUCUAGUAAGAAGCUGAGAAGCUCCCCUUGCUCCAAACCCAGUCAAGGUGCCAUUAGAGGGACAAUAGAUACGCCUCAGCGAUUAACAUAUGAAAGAACUGAUAUAACACCUGAGCAGAAAAGCACUGAGAGGAGAAGAGCUGUGCUGGAGAGAGAGUGGUGCUGGUGGUUGGUGGGGAAGAAGGUGCCCUAGCAGAAGUUUCCCUGCAACCCAUAGUGAGAUGGCAGGCUAUCCCCCUGCACUCAUGGAGGAACAUAGUGAAACAUUCACUGAAGGCACCAGGAGGGGUGAACUUGGCCACUGGACUUGGAUGUUGUGGCCAGUGGAUUUGCUGCCUGUGGACUCUGCGCAGCUUUGGAAGACCCCGGUGCCAGGGGAGUUGGCGGUUCCUGAAGCAGCCCACGACUGUGGGAAGCCCACACUGGAGCAGCUUGCUCCAGACCUCGUGGGAAGGACUCAUGAAGGAGAGGUUCGUGGAGGCCUCUCUCCCAUGGGAGGGACCCCAUGGGGAAGGCCUGUAAGGAAUCCUUCCUGAGGAGGAUGGCGCGGCAAGAACCACCAGCCUGUGAACUGACUCUAAACCCCAUCCCCCUGUGCCGCUGGGGGGAAAGGAGAGAGAGAAACUGGGAACAAAUUUGGGCCCGGGAACAAGGGAAGGGUGGGGUAACAUAUGUAAGCUCUGCUUUUUGUGUUGUCUGUGUCCUGUGUGUGUUUGAUUAGUGUGAAAUUAAAUUAUUACUUUUUCCCCAA